UAUUAUUGAACGCAGGUGGAUGU
Molecule: non-coding RNA, 23 nt
Filed under: Cricetulus griseus (Chinese hamster)
Lineage: Eukaryota; Metazoa; Chordata; Mammalia; Rodentia; Cricetidae
Source: RNAcentral